RNAcentral lists this transfer RNA (60 nucleotides) under Cornu aspersum (brown garden snail). RNAcentral describes it as "Helix aspersa (brown garden snail) tRNA-Met". Lineage: Eukaryota; Metazoa; Mollusca; Gastropoda; Stylommatophora; Helicidae. The record is from RNAcentral.
CUUUAAAUAAGCUAUAUAAGCUAUUGGGCUCAUAACCCAGAAAAGGUUUUCCUUUAAAGA